Molecule: ribosomal RNA, 1394 nt
Filed under: Lactiplantibacillus plantarum
Lineage: Bacteria; Bacillati; Bacillota; Bacilli; Lactobacillales; Lactobacillaceae
Description: bacterial SSU rRNA
Rfam family: Bacterial small subunit ribosomal RNA
Source: RNAcentral
AACUCUGGUAUUGAUUGGUGCUUGCAUCAUGAUUUACAUUUGAGUGAGUGGCGAACUGGUGAGUAACACGUGGGAAACCUGCCCAGAAGCGGGGGAUAACACCUGGAAACAGAUGCUAAUACCGCAUAACAACUUGGACCGCAUGGUCCGAGUUUGAAAGAUGGCUUCGGCUAUCACUUUUGGAUGGUCCCGCGGCGUAUUAGCUAGAUGGUGAGGUAACGGCUCACCAUGGCAAUGAUACGUAGCCGACCUGAGAGGGUAAUCGGCCACAUUGGGACUGAGACACGGCCCAAACUCCUACGGGAGGCAGCAGUAGGGAAUCUUCCACAAUGGACGAAAGUCUGAUGGAGCAACGCCGCGUGAGUGAAGAAGGGUUUCGGCUCGUAAAACUCUGUUGUUAAAGAAGAACAUAUCUGAGAGUAACUGUUCAGGUAUUGACGGUAUUUAACCAGAAAGCCACGGCUAACUACGUGCCAGCAGCCGCGGUAAUACGUAGGUGGCAAGCGUUGUCCGGAUUUAUUGGGCGUAAAGCGAGCGCAGGCGGUUUUUUAAGUCUGAUGUGAAAGCCUUCGGCUCAACCGAAGAAGUGCAUCGGAAACUGGGAAACUUGAGUGCAGAAGAGGACAGUGGAACUCCAUGUGUAGCGGUGAAAUGCGUAGAUAUAUGGAAGAACACCAGUGGCGAAGGCGGCUGUCUGGUCUGUAACUGACGCUGAGGCUCGAAAGUAUGGGUAGCAAACAGGAUUAGAUACCCUGGUAGUCCAUACCGUAAACGAUGAAUGCUAAGUGUUGGAGGGUUUCCGCCCUUCAGUGCUGCAGCUAACGCAUUAAGCAUUCCGCCUGGGGAGUACGGCCGCAAGGCUGAAACUCAAAGGAAUUGACGGGGGCCCGCACAAGCGGUGGAGCAUGUGGUUUAAUUCGAAGCUACGCGAAGAACCUUACCAGGUCUUGACAUACUAUGCAAAUCUAAGAGAUUAGACGUUCCCUUCGGGGACAUGGAUACAGGUGGUGCAUGGUUGUCGUCAGCUCGUGUCGUGAGAUGUUGGGUUAAGUCCCGCAACGAGCGCAACCCUUAUUAUCAGUUGCCAGCAUUAAGUUGGGCACUCUGGUGAGACUGCCGGUGACAAACCGGAGGAAGGUGGGGAUGACGUCAAAUCAUCAUGCCCCUUAUGACCUGGGCUACACACGUGCUACAAUGGAUGGUACAACGAGUUGCGAACUCGCGAGAGUAAGCUAAUCUCUUAAAGCCAUUCUCAGUUCGGAUUGUAGGCUGCAACUCGCCUACAUGAAGUCGGAAUCGCUAGUAAUCGCGGAUCAGCAUGCCGCGGUGAAUACGUUCCCGGGCCUUGUACACACCGCCCGUCACACCAUGAGAGUUUGUAACACCCAAAGUCG